This 313-nucleotide long non-coding RNA is filed under the name Canis lupus dingo (dingo). RNAcentral's name for it is "lncRNA (ENSCAFG00020022067.1)". The record is from RNAcentral. Lineage: Eukaryota; Metazoa; Chordata; Mammalia; Carnivora; Canidae.
GGAAAAUCUUGGGCUGUGUCAUUCAGUCCCGCAGAGUCUAAGCACAUGCUCCAUCCAGUCCACUGCCCUCAGCUCUUAUACACACCAUAAAUGCUGAUAACACUGAUCACUUGCAUCGGAUGCCACUGUGGACAUUCAAUCUUCUAGCCAGUGUCCUUCUGCUCCCAAUUCUACACUCCAACCCAAAGUUCCACUAUCUUAACAAAGAUGAGAAAACUGAAUCUCUAGGAAGCAAGUCCUAUGAUGCUGGGGAAGAUGAGCCAGAGUGAUCUGUGAGAGAUACCCGAGUUGGCCAAGUGGAGACGCAUCUUCU